This 254-nucleotide ribosomal RNA is filed under the name uncultured bacterium. Its description in RNAcentral is "partial 16S ribosomal RNA". It matches the Rfam family "Archaeal small subunit ribosomal RNA", at positions 474 to 727 of the family's 1478-position model. The record is from RNAcentral.
CACCGGCGCCACGAGUGGUCGUCACGAUUAUUGGGCCUAAAGCGUUCGUAGCCGGUCUGGUAAAUCUCUUGUGAAAUUGUUCGGCUUAACCGGACGGCGUGCAGGAGACACUGCCAGACUCGAGACCGGGAGGGGGUAGAAGUAUUCCGUGGGGACCGGUAAAAUGGGAUAAUCCACGGAGGACUACCGAUGGCGAAGGCAUCUACCCAGAACGGGUCUGACGGUGAGGAACGAAAGCCAGGGGAGCGAACCGG